CAAAUAUGGCCUCAGAGCCCCUCUGCGCAGCCAUGUGGCUGUAUUACCAUAGUAACUGACCAUUCAGCUGUCCUUAAUGCAUUUCUUUAUCCUCACAACAUCCUGGCAAGGUAAAAAUGUGUUUUUGUCUCCACGUAGCACAGAAGAGGCUGUGUGCAGUGGCUCACCCAGGGGCACGCGAGCGAUGCCGUUGUUCCUCCUGCAGCCUAGAACAGCACAGAAAUACCAACGUUGUCCCUCUUUCUCACUCUUUCCAGUGAUGCACAGCGCAGUUCCUCCUGGAGAUGGGCAAGGUAACCUUGCCUUCCAGAACCAGAACUUUCUCUCUUUGGGACACCAGCAUCUUGUUUGACCACCCAGGAGAUGCAAAGACUGUAAGCUCACAAUGUGAGAGAAUGAGAGCCGGGAGAGCCGAGCGUGGCGUUCCCACCCGUGACCACGGCGGAGCGCAGCCUGACGCGGGGAUGGGAGACCCAAAGGGACGCCGCGGUGCUGCAAAAACAAGGUAAACCCUUUCUGCUUUAUGUCAUUCUAUUCCUGAGGGAGAUGUGCUAAAGCCCCUGCCCCUUCUGCAAGGACAGAUAAAUUGUUUCGGAGCGAUUUUUACCAUCUCUAUUCCCUCUGCUGUGUAUCGGAGGACUGUUUUUCACCAGGAUCUCUAUUUCAUAGAUUCACAUUAGUGAAUUCAUAGAAUCACAGAAUGGCUUGGGUUGGGAGGGAUCUCAAAGAUCAUCUAGUUCCAACCACUAAUUCUUACUUAAAGCUACUGAGACGAUGCAGUUAUGAAUCAGGCCAUGCAGUUGUUGCUAUUUCAGAAGAAACCUAAGAGCAGACCAGCUUUAAUGAGAAAUAAAUUGUAAUCCAUCCCCA
This 870-nucleotide long non-coding RNA is filed under the name Numida meleagris (helmeted guineafowl). RNAcentral's name for it is "lncRNA (ENSNMEG00000017117.1)". The record is from RNAcentral. Lineage: Eukaryota; Metazoa; Chordata; Aves; Galliformes; Numididae.